This 860-nucleotide ribosomal RNA is filed under the name Alteromonas sp. MCCC 1A09938. Its description in RNAcentral is "bacterial SSU rRNA". It matches the Rfam family "Bacterial small subunit ribosomal RNA", at positions 443 to 1296 of the family's 1533-position model. The record is from RNAcentral. Lineage: Bacteria; Pseudomonadati; Pseudomonadota; Gammaproteobacteria; Alteromonadales; Alteromonadaceae.
UGAGGAAAAGUUAGUAGUUAAUACCUGCUAGCCGUGACGUUAACAACAGAAGAAGCACCGGCUAACUCCGUGCCAGCAGCCGCGGUAAUACGGAGGGUGCGAGCGUUAAUCGGAAUUACUGGGCGUAAAGCGCACGCAGGCGGUUUGUUAAGCUAGAUGUGAAAGCCCCGGGCUCAACCUGGGAUGGUCAUUUAGAACUGGCAGACUAGAGUCUUGGAGAGGGGAGUGGAAUUCCAGGUGUAGCGGUGAAAUGCGUAGAUAUCUGGAGGAACAUCAGUGGCGAAGGCGACUCCCUGGCCAAAGACUGACGCUCAUGUGCGAAAGUGUGGGUAGCGAACAGGAUUAGAUACCCUGGUAGUCCACACCGUAAACGCUGUCUACUAGCUGUUUGUGACUUUAAGUCGUGAGUAGCGAAGCUAACGCGCUAAGUAGACCGCCUGGGGAGUACGGCCGCAAGGUUAAAACUCAAAUGAAUUGACGGGGGCCCGCACAAGCGGUGGAGCAUGUGGUUUAAUUCGAUGCAACGCGAAGAACCUUACCUACACUUGACAUGCAGAGAACUUUCCAGAGAUGGAUUGGUGCCUUCGGGAACUCUGACACAGGUGCUGCAUGGCUGUCGUCAGCUCGUGUCGUGAGAUGUUGGGUUAAGUCCCGCAACGAGCGCAACCCUUGUCCUUAGUUGCCAGCAUUCAGUUGGGCACUCUAAGGAGACUGCCGGUGACAAACCGGAGGAAGGUGGGGACGACGUCAAGUCAUCAUGGCCCUUACGUGUAGGGCUACACACGUGCUACAAUGGCAUUUACAGAGGGAAGCGAGACAGUGAUGUGGAGCGGACCCCUUUAAAGAAUGUCGUAGUCCGG